CCUGUGAGGGUUGCUGGAGGUAUCAGAAGUGCGAAUGCUGACAUAAGUAACGAUAAAGCGGGUGAAAAGCCCGCUCGCCGGAAGACCAAGGGUUCCUGUCCAACGUUAAUCGGGGCAGGGUGAGUCGACCCCUAAGGCGAGGCCGAAAGGCGUAGUCGAUGGGAAACGGGUUAAUAUUCCCGUACUUGGUGUUACUGCGAAGGGGGGACGGAGAAGGCUAUGUUGGCCGGGCGACGGUUGUCCCGGUUUAAGCGUGUAGGUGUGUGUUCCAGGUAAAUCCGGUUCACUUUAACACUGAGGCGUGAUGACGAGGCACUACGGUGCUGAAGCAACAAAUGCCCUGCUUCCAGGAAAAGCCUCUAAGCAUCAGGUAACAUCAAAUCGUACCCCAAACCGACACAGGUGGUCAGGUAGAGAAUACCAAGGCGCUUGAGAGAACUCGGGUGAAGGAACUAGGCAAAAUGGUGCCGUAACUUCGGGAGAAGGCACGCUGACACGUAGGUGAAGUGAUUUACUCACGGAGCUGAAGUCAGUCGAAGAUACCAGCUGGCUGCAACUGUUUAUUAAAAACACAGCACUGUGCAAACACGAAAGUGGACGUAUACGGUGUGACGCCUGCCCGGUGCCGGAAGGUUAAUUGAUGGGGUCAGCGCAAGCGAAGCUCCUGAUCGAAGCCCCGGUAAACGGCGGCCGUAACUAUAACGGUCCUAAGGUAGCGAAAUUCCUUGUCGGGUAAGUUCCGACCUGCACGAAUGGCGUAAUGAUGGCCAGGCUGUCUCCACCCGAGACUCAGUGAAAUUGAACUCGCUGUGAAGAUGCAGUGUACCCGCGGCAAGACGGAAAGACCCCGUGAACCUUUACUAUAGCUUGACACUGAACAUUGAGCCUUGAUGUGUAGGAUAGGUGGGAGGCUUUGAAGUGUGGACGCCAGUCUGCAUGGAGCCGACCUUGAAAUACCACCCUUUAAUGUUUGAUGUUCUAACGUGGACCCGUAAUCCGGGUUGCGGACAGUGUCUGGUGGGUAGUUUGACUGGGGCGGUCUCCUCCUAAAGAGUAACGGAGGAGCACGAAGGUUGGCUAAUCCUGGUCGGACAUCAGGAGGUUAGUGCAAUGGCAUAAGCCAGCUUGACUGCGAGCGUGACGGCGCGAGCAGGUGCGAAAGCAGGUCAUAGUGAUCCGGUGGUUCUGAAUGGAAGGGCCAUCGCUCAACGGAUAAAAGGUACUCCGGGGAUAACAGGCUGAUACCGCCCAAGAGUUCAUAUCGACGGCGGUGUUUGGCACCUCGAUGUCGGCUCAUCACAUCCUGGGGCUGAAGUAGGUCCCAAGGGUAUGGCUGUUCGCCAUUUAAAGUGGUACGCGAGCUGGGUUUAGAACGUCGUGAGACAGUUCGGUCCCUAUCUGCCGUGGGCGCUGGAGAACUGAGGGGGGCUGCUCCUAGUACGAGAGGACCGGAGUGGACGCAUCACUGGUGUUCGGGUUGUCAUGCCAAUGGCACUGCCCGGUAGCUAAAUGCGGAAGAGAUAAGUGCUGAAAGCAUCUAAGCACGAAACUUGCCCCGA
This 1559-nucleotide ribosomal RNA is filed under the name Salmonella enterica subsp. enterica serovar Typhimurium. RNAcentral's name for it is "partial 23S ribosomal RNA". It matches the Rfam family "Bacterial large subunit ribosomal RNA", at positions 1260 to 2802 of the family's 2925-position model. The record is from RNAcentral. Lineage: Bacteria; Pseudomonadati; Pseudomonadota; Gammaproteobacteria; Enterobacterales; Enterobacteriaceae.